This 468-nucleotide ribosomal RNA is filed under the name uncultured bacterium. Its description in RNAcentral is "partial 16S ribosomal RNA". It matches the Rfam family "Bacterial small subunit ribosomal RNA", at positions 28 to 507 of the family's 1533-position model. The record is from RNAcentral.
GACGAACGCUGGCGGCGUGCUUAACACAUGCAAGUCGAACGGAAAGGCCCUGCUUUUGUGGGGUGCUCGAGUGGCGAACGGGUGAGUAACACGUGAGUAACCUGCCCUUGACUUUGGGAUAACUUCAGGAAACUGGGGCUAAUACCGGAUAGGAGCUCCUGCUGCAUGGGGGGGGUUGGAAAGUUUCGGCGGUUGGGGAUGGACUCGCGGCUUAUCAGCUUGUUGGUGGGGUAGUGGCUUACCAAGGCUUUGACGGGUAGCCGGCCUGAGAGGGUGACCGGCCACAUUGGGACUGAGAUACGGCCCAGCCUCCUACGGGAGGCAGCAGUGGGGAAUAUUGAACAAUGGGCGGAAGCCUGAUGCAGCACCGCCGCGUGCGGGAUGACGGCCUUCGGGUUGUAAACCGCUUUCGCCUGUGACGAAGCGUGAGUGACGGUAAUGGGUAAAGAAGCACCGGCUAACUACGUG